Plodia interpunctella (Indianmeal moth) is the source of this 544-nucleotide long non-coding RNA. RefSeq lists it as uncharacterized. Lineage: Eukaryota; Metazoa; Arthropoda; Insecta; Lepidoptera; Pyralidae. The transcript has 2 exons. The record is from RefSeq and is a predicted model, not a curated record.
AGGUCCCUAUCUAUAAGUCAAGAGUUCGAAACUCAGGCCGAGUAAAUAAUUUCUGCUUAUUUUAUUUUAAAAGAUGUUUUAUUAUUCAGAGACGACAUUUUUAAACCAGUAUUUAAAACUUAAAGUUCAAUACUUUCGUAGACAACGCACAAUUUCCUUGCCGUUUUUAUUUAUUCAUAAAGUGGGUAGUAGGAAAACUACUAUCAAUUGACUCGUCGUCGACGGAAUCUUAAUCAUAGCUCACUUGCUCUAGCCAUCUUAGUUGCGGUAACUGUGUAGUUGUGAAUUUCGUUACAAAUCAAUAUGCAUUUAACUACCUUUGUAAAAGCAAAAAUCAUUGCUAUGAAGAUAAUGUUUCCAUUCGAGAAAUAACUCGACGUCUUCAAAUAUCUAGUAUAUUUCCAGUGUUCAACUAUGAAUAAGACGAUUUCAACAAACUAGUGACAGCGAAAGAAAUCGGCUAGGACCUGUGCCACAUAUGUUUAUGCCUUCUUCGUCGCGUCACCGAAAAAUAGUUGCCAGACAUGAAGACGAUCAGUUUGAU